This 263-nucleotide long non-coding RNA is filed under the name Lathyrus oleraceus (garden pea). RNAcentral's name for it is "Pisum sativum (pea) long non-coding RNA (PSAT_LNC012331)". The record is from RNAcentral. Lineage: Eukaryota; Viridiplantae; Streptophyta; Magnoliopsida; Fabales; Fabaceae.
AAUAAGCAUCCAUCAAUUUCAUAAAUCAUGGAGGUCGAAAUCUAACCUUGCUGGAGAAACAGAAGUGGAUUCGUGCAGUUCAAGUCCUAGAAAGGUGAAACAGAUCAUCUACAAUGCUUGGACAGAUGAAUGGAUGAUGAAGAACAGCUCAACAAUGCUCGAUCUCUCUGGAAACUUCAACUGCCAUGGAAGAGUGCAAUGUUCAACAGCUUCGAUUCUUCAAGAAUUCUCCAAGAUCCAGCUCCAAUAAUCUUCAACAAUGC